Molecule: ribosomal RNA, 704 nt
Filed under: uncultured archaeon
Lineage: Archaea
Description: bacterial SSU rRNA
Rfam family: Archaeal small subunit ribosomal RNA
Source: RNAcentral
CCUGGAAUGGAUUCUCGCCGAAAGGACGUCUAGACCAUGCUUCUAAGCGUUGCCCAAGGAGGGGGCCGCGGCCGAUCAGGCUGUUGGCGAGGUAACGGCUCACCAAACCUUUAACCGGUACGGGCCGUGAGAGCGGGAGCCCGGAGAUGGGCACUGAGAUAAGGGCCCAGGCCCUACGGGGCGCAGCAGUCGCGAAAACUCCGCAAUACACGAAAGUGUGACGGGGCUAUCCCGAGUGCCAUCCGCUGAGGAUGGCUUUUCCCCAGUGUAUAAAGCUGGGGGAAUAAGGAGAGGGCAAGACUGGUGUCAGCCGCCGCGGUAAUACCAGCUCUCCGAGUGGUGGGGACGCUUAUUGGGCCUAAAGCAUUCGUAGCCUGUUGGGCAAGUCCUCCGUUAAAUCCAACGAUUCAAUCGUUGGGCUGCGGGGGAUACUGUCCGGCUAGGGGGCGGGAGAGGCCGACGGUAUUCUCGGGGUAGGGGUGAAAUCCUAUAAUCCCGGGAGGACCACCAGUGGCGAAGGCUGUCGGCUAGAACGCGCCCGACGGUGAGGGAUGAAAGCUGGGGGAGCGAACCGGAUUAGAUACCCGGGUAGUCCCAGCUGUAAACGAUGCAGGCUAGGUGUUGGCGCGGCUACGUGCCGCCCCAGUGCCGCAGGGAAGCCGUUAAGCCUGCCGCCUGGGAAGUACGGCCGCAAGGCUGAAACU